Long non-coding RNA from Epinephelus fuscoguttatus (brown-marbled grouper), 275 nucleotides. RefSeq lists it as uncharacterized. The record is from RefSeq and is a predicted model, not a curated record. The transcript has 3 exons. NCBI's taxonomy places the organism in Eukaryota, Metazoa, Chordata, Actinopteri, Perciformes, Serranidae.
GCCGUUGGCGGGGGGACGGGUGCUGCGGCCAGAGGAGAGUCCUCCCCCAGCCUCUCCGAGAGCGGCACGUCUCGCCUCCACAGCUUCAACAUCUGGAAGUGACACAGAACGCAGACAAUCACUCAGCCCAAUGUCGAAAGCAGCAUGAAGACCAGUGAAGACAUCACGGCAGAGAGAGAGAGAGACAUGUCCAUACCUGCCACUGACCUGCAGACCAGCCAGGAGGAACUCACUUUGCCAGAUGUUCAAAUGGCACACUGACCUGAGUGAGGAAG